UGGGGAAUAUUGCACAAUGGGCGAAAGCCUGAUGCAGCGACGCCGCGUGGAGGAUGACGGUCUUCGGAUUGUAAACUCCUGUUAAGUGGGGCAAAAGAGCUUCUGUUAAUAGCAGAGGAAGAUGAUGGUACCACUAGAGAAAGCACCGGCUAACUUCGUGCCAGCAGCCGCGGUAAUACGAGGGGUGCAAGCGUUAUUCGGAUUUACUGGGCGUAAAGGGUGUGUAGGCGGCUUUUUAAGUCAGUUGUUAAAGACCUUGGCCUAACCAAGGAAAUGCGAUUGAAACUAGAAAGCUAGAGGAUGGAAGAGAGGAGUGGAAUUCUUGGAGUAGCGGUAAAAUGCGUAGAUCUCAAGAGGAACACCGAUGGCGAAGGCAGCUUCUUGGUCCAUAUCUGACGCU
Molecule: ribosomal RNA, 400 nt
Filed under: uncultured bacterium
Lineage: Bacteria
Description: bacterial SSU rRNA
Rfam family: Bacterial small subunit ribosomal RNA
Source: RNAcentral